GAUUUUUUUCUUUUUUUCUUCUCAAGAGAAAUGGAAAAAGAUCUAGAGAAAGAAAAAGAUGAGAGAUCAAAUUUCUCUUCUUUCUUUUCAUCCAACUCCGGACUGAAUUUGGAGGAAAAAGAGAUGACAUGUUUAACUCUUGGACCAAGAGAGGAAGAGAAGAAAAUGAAGGGAGAAGUGUCCAACUCUUUGGAUGUGUAGAAGAGAAAGAGGGAGAG
This 218-nucleotide long non-coding RNA is filed under the name Elaeis guineensis (African oil palm). RNAcentral describes it as "long non-coding RNA (EGUI_LNC075345)". Lineage: Eukaryota; Viridiplantae; Streptophyta; Magnoliopsida; Arecales; Arecaceae. The record is from RNAcentral.